UACGUAGGGUGCAAGCGUUAAUCGGAAUUACUGGGCGUAAAGCGUGCGCAGGCGGUUGUGCAAGACCGAUGUGAAAUCCCCGGGCUUAACCUGGGAAUGGCAUUGGUGACUGCACGGCUAGAGUGUGUCAGAGGGGGGUAGAAUUCCACGUGUAGCAGUGAAAUGCGUAGAGAUGUGGAGGAAUACCGAUGGCGAAGGCAGCCCCCCUGGGAUAACACUGACGCUCAUGCACGGAAAGCGUGGGGAGCAAACAGG
RNAcentral lists this ribosomal RNA (255 nucleotides) under uncultured bacterium. RNAcentral's name for it is "partial 16S ribosomal RNA". It matches the Rfam family "Bacterial small subunit ribosomal RNA", at positions 524 to 776 of the family's 1533-position model. The record is from RNAcentral.